Molecule: ribosomal RNA, 301 nt
Filed under: uncultured bacterium
Lineage: Bacteria
Description: partial 16S ribosomal RNA
Rfam family: Bacterial small subunit ribosomal RNA
Source: RNAcentral
CAGUAGCCGCGGUAAUACGGAGGAUCCAAGCGUUAUCCGGAUUUAUUGGGUUUAAAGGGUGCGUAGGCGGCCUAUUAAGUCAGGGGUGAAAGACGGUAGCUCAACUAUCGCAGUGCCUUUGAUACUGAUGGGCUUGAAUGUACUUGAGGUAGGCGGAAUGUGACAAGUAGCGGUGAAAUGCAUAGAUAUGUCACAGAACACCAAUUGCGAAGGCAGCUUACUAAAGUAUGAUUGACGCUGAGGCACGAAAGCGUGGGGAUCAAACAGGAUUAGAUACCCCCGUAGUCCCUGUCUCUUAUAC